RNAcentral lists this long non-coding RNA (628 nucleotides) under Marmota monax (woodchuck). Lineage: Eukaryota; Metazoa; Chordata; Mammalia; Rodentia; Sciuridae. The record is from RNAcentral.
GCCAGAAUGCACCAGGCACAGUCUGAACCGUGGAAAGCCUGCAGCUCACUUGCUCUGCGUCCCUGCACCAAAGGCCUUCAACCAUGGUCACUUUCACAGCUGACACCCUGCAGCACUUACCCGAGUCGACUGCUUGUCAAAUGUGUCAGGCCUUCGAGUGAUGACCGAGAAUAGAUUCAGUGUGAUCCAGAGGAUGUGAAAACAGUGCCCAAUCCGACCCCAGGCGAGUUGGGGGUGCUUUCCUUCAGCGCACUGGCCUUGAGUCCAUUUCCUAUUACCUGCAAUGCCGAGCAGUAAGGUUGGUUCUGAAUCAAAAUCAGAUUCCCCGGGGGUUCAGCACGAUGCUGGAAGGUCCUUACUCCCUCCCGAAAGGCUGCCUGGGAAACAGUCUUUAAAUCAUCCUUGCAGAGUCGGGAGACACCCUGUCCUGUGGGGAUUUACUUUAGCAAUCCCACCAUCUCAUCCCAUCCUUCAUCCUUCCCCGUGCAGAGAGCCAUGUGCUGAAAAACAGAGUCUUAGUUCUGACUUUAAAAAUCGUCACAUAAGAUAUUUCUCUUACGAUGUUGGACCAGCUCUCCAUCACACAUUCCAUCCCGGAGGAGACAGUUGAGGAGAAGUUUGUCUCCCC